ACUUCUUGAAACUGUAAUUUAAUCAAACAUACUUGUUUAGACUAAUUGUAAUUUACUCUAAACUAUAUUUAUAGUAAUUUUAUCAUUUACUCAUUUUCAUUUUAGAAAACCCUAGAAAUCCCGUUCAAGUAUCCUUGCUUGACAAUUGUCUCUUUUAUCAUAUACUAAAAACAUAUAAGUUGUAGAAUUGUGGAUAUGAUUAUUUAUUGUGAUCAUAUUCAAGUUUUCAACCUAUAUGUUUUGUAUAUGAUUGGUAGAAUUGUAUGCAAAUGAUGCUUGAAUUGUCCGUUUGGACAGUUUGGAAAUACAUAAUAUCUAUGAAAUCACACGCCUAUGCUUUAGCAUAUUGAUAAGUUUUGACAGUGAUUCCCCUUGUUCUCUGGGUGCAUAUUUGGAGAAGGUGACAUAUUGUUAGCAACUUAGUUAAGCUAACUAAUAGUAUGUUUAUACCUUAGCCAAUUCGUGUACUUGGAGAACUAUGGGGAAAUGCUGCCGAAAUUUUAUCAAAAUGAAACUAAGCAUGUUAGUGAUUGAUUCAUAGGGAUUAUGUAUUUCCAAAUGGGAUAGGAACCACUACCAAAUAUAGGAAUUUGAGAUGAUCAAAAGCAUAUCACAUUCAUUAUAAGUUGAUAUGAAGAUUCAUUGUUAUGUGAUUGAAGGGUUUAAUUUGCGGAAGUACGAGGAAAAUGGCAAUAGAUAAGAGUUGGAUGCAGAAGUCAAGAGUAAGUAGUGAAUAUCAUAAAGGUGUUUUGGAAUUCUUAGACUUUGCCUUUAGCAAUGCACCUGGAAAAGAAAUGCUCCCAUGUCCUUGCAUUCGUUGCAAUAAUUGUCUUAUGCAGAAGCGAGAAAUCAUGUAUGAUCAUUUGUUGGACAAUGGGAUAGCUAGAAAUUAUGUGCGGUGGUUGAUGCAUGGGGAAUAUGAGUUUUGCGAACCUACAAAUACUAGCACUAAUGAGUCUAAUAUGCAUGAUGAGAUGCAAGAAAUGUUAAAUGAUGCAUUUAGAAUGCCAAUGCCAAAUGAGGAAUCUGAAAGAAGUCCACAUGUGCACGGGGAGUUUGAAAAACCAAAUGAGGAUGCAAACAAAUUUUAUAAUUUGUUAAGAGAAGCAGAGCAGGAACUAUAUCCAGGGUGUAAAAAAUUCACAAAAUUGUCUUUUAUCAUAAGAUUAUUUCAUAUGAAGUGUCUUAAUGGAUGGAGCAAUAAGUCCUUUACAAUGUUGCUUGAAUUGUUGAAGGAGGCAUUUCCUGAGGGUGAGACAUUGCCAAGCAACUAUUAUGAAGCUAAAAAAAUACUUCGUGACCUUGGCCUUCAUUAUAUCAAGAUUGAUGCAUGCCCCUCAGAUUGCAUGUUGUAUUCAAAAGAGCAUGCAAAUGCAAAUGAGUGUGUUGUUUGUGGUGUCUCUAGAUGGAAAUCAAGUGAUGAUCAUUCUACAGAUGAGUUCACUAAUUCAGCAAAGAAAAAGAAAAUUCCUGCUAAGGUCUUACGUUUUUUUCCCUUAAAACCAAGGCUUCAAAGGUUAUAUAUGUCAGCUAAGACAACUUCUCACAUGAAAUGGCAUGUUGAUGGUCGCAUGGAAGAUGAGAUGAUGAGGCAUCCAGCAGACUCUUUGGCUUGGAAAAACUUCGAUAACGUACACCCUUCAUUUGCAUUAGAACCUCGAAAUGUUAGGCUCGGUUUAGCAAGUGAUGGGUUCAAUCCUUUUGGGAAUAUGUCAAUUUCAUACAGUAUGUGGCCUGUGGUUCUUAUUCCAUAUAACUUACCACCAUGGAUGUGUAUGAAACAAACAUUCUUCAUGUUGUCACUACUUAUUCCUGGUCCAACUACACCUGGGAAUGACAUUGACAUAUACUUACAACCAUUGAUAGAUGAGUUGAAUGACUUAUGGGACGUUGGAGUUGAAACAUAUGACGCUUCAACAAAACAAAAUUUUUGUAUGCGUGCAGCUAUAUUGUGGACUAUCAAUGAUUUUCCUGCAUAUGCAAAUCUUUCAGGUUGGAGUACUAAAGGGAAAUUUGCUUGUCCUAUUUGUAAUAAGGAUUGUUCUUCAUUUCGAUUACAAAACGGACGGAAAUGGUGUUACAUGGGUCAUCGUCGAUUUUUGCCGAUUGAUCAUAGAUUUCGACGUGAUAAAAAGUCCUUUGAUGGAAAUGAAGAGCAUAGAGCAGCACCUAAACAAUUGUCUGGGGAAGAUAUUCUACAUCAAUUAGAUGGAAUGGAACAUAUUACUUUAGGGAAGACAUCAAAAAAUAAGGUGUCAGCAAAAAGAAAAAGAGGACAUGUUGAACUUGAGCAUAAUUGGAAAAAAAAAAAGCAUUUUUUUCCAAUUGCCAUAUUGGAAAACCCUCAUUUUGCGUCAUAAUUUGGAUGUAAUGCAUAUUGAAAAGAAUAUAUGUGACAGUAUAGUUGGCACCUUGUUGACUAUCGAUGGUAAAUCGAAGGAUAACUUCAAUAGUCGUCUUGACUUGCAAGUUAUGGGUAUCAGAGAUCAACUUCACCCCAUACAAAGAGGGAAUAGAGUUAUAUUGCCUGCUGCAUGCUAUUCACUAACUUCAAAUGAAAAAAAGGAAUUCUGUAAAUUUUUGAAAGAAGUAAAGGUUCCAGAUGGUUAUGCUUCUAACAUCUCUCGGUGUGUACAAGUGAAUGAAAGAAAGAUAUUUGGGUUGAAGUCUCAUGAUUGUCAUGUUCUCAUGCAACAACUUCUUCCACUUGCAAUUCGAGGAGUUCUACAUAAGAAUGUUUGUGCUGUUAUAGUUGAACUAUGUAGUUUCUUCAAACAGUUGUGUUCUAAAGUGUUAAAGACUGAUCAAUUAGAGCACCUUGAGAAUGACAUAAUAGUCACACUUUGAAAAUUAGAAAGAAUAUUUCCUCCAUCAUUCUUUGAUGUUAUGGUGCAUUUACCUAUUCAUCUUGCAAGUGAGGCAAAGGUCGCUGGACCAGUGCAAUAUCGAUGGAUGUAUCCUAUCGAGCGGUAUUUACGUACAUUAAAGUCUUAUGUCCGUAAUAAGAGUCGUCCAGAAGGUUCUAUUGCAGAGGGCUACAUAGCAGAAGAAUGUACAACCUUUUGUUCAAGAUAUUUGCAUGAUGUUGAAACAAAGCAUGACCAUGAAGAAAGAAAUUAUGUCAUUGAAAAUAACAUAACAAAUGGUGGAGGGUUAACCAUUUUCAAAUGCAUGGGACGUACAAUAGGAAAGUCAACAUCUCGUGUUCUUAGCACAGAAGAAUGGUCCCAAGCAUAUUUAUAUGUGUUGACUAAUUGUGAGGAAGUGACGUCAUUUAUUGAAGAGCAUAAGCAAUCUAUAAGGGUUAAGCCUCGUAUUCGUGCACGAGAUGUAGAUUUGAUUCACACAAGAGAAUUCAUUAGUUGGUUUGAAGAACGUAUUAUACAAAUGCGACAUGAAGGUCCAAUUUCUGAACACAUACUAUCAUUGUCUCGUGGACCAAGUACAUCAGUUAUAUGUUAUAGAGGAUACAUCAUUAAUGGGUUCAGAUUUCACACAAGAGAACGAGAAAAAGGAAAAAAAACUCAAAAUAGUGGAGUUGUUGUGACCGCAGAGGUAUCAAGCUUUGCAAGUGCAAGAGAUAAGAACCCAAUUCCUGGUCAUGUUUCUUACUAUGGUGUGCUAACUGAUGUAAUUGAGUUACAUUACCUUGGUGGAAAUAGAGUUAUUUUAUUCAAGUGUGACUGGUGGGAUGUAAUCAAUAGUGGAAGGGGAAUAAAGAAGGAUGAAUAUGGGUUCACGUGUUUGAAUUUUGAACGUACCAUAUGCACAGAUGAACCAUUUGUGCUUGCAUCUCAAGCAAAACAAGUCUUCUAUGUUCAAAAUUCAAAUGAGGAAAAUUGGCACACCGUUGUAGAGAUACAAACUCGAGGGGUUUAUGAUAUGAAUCAGAAAGUAUCUACUAAUGAUCCAGAGCCAUAUCAACAGCUUAUAACACUUCAUAAUCAACGUGAUGUGCAUGAGUUGGUCGAGAAUGAUUUAAUCAAUUGGGAUAGAAAUGAUAUUGCAGGAGAAACUAUCCAAACGGAUGUUCUACUAUCACGACAAGAAAACAUUGUUGAAAGAGAUAAUGAAUUCAUUCAUGAUGAUGAUAUAGAUGAUGUGUAGCUAAUAAUAUUGGAAAUGUCACAUCGAAGAGGAAGAGUACAAAUAGUGUCUCCAGAAGAUGAGUUGAACAAUCUACAACAACUCUUAGACAUACAACCUGCUGCAACUACUACUCCUAGUAGUUCUGAUCCUUCUGAUUCUUCAGAUCCUUCUGUUGCUGGUUCAUCUUCUAGCAAAAAGAGGACACGUGGCCCAACACGUAACUUAGAUUUACUUAGUAUGAAACCCGGGGAAAAAAAAACUACACGAUUCAAUACGAGAGGGCAAGUUGUUUAUGAUGGAAAAGGGGAAAGAUUAUCAAGCUAUAUGGGAACAUUGGUGCGAUCUCAACACAAUGUACCCAUCCAAGUUCAAGAUUGGAAUCAUGUUAGUGAAGAUGUGAAGGAAAAGAUUUGGGCCUUAGUAUUGGAAAAAUAUGAACUAGAAGAAACAUGUAAGAGCUACAUUCUUCAAUGUUGUGGAAAUUUGUUUAGAAGCUAUAGAAAUAAAAUGAAGGCCAAGUAUUAUAACCCUUAUAAUACAGAUGAGGAGAGAUUGUGCCAUCGACCUCCACACUUAUCGGAUGAUGAUUGGAGGUGGCUCAUCCACUUUUGGAGUACACCUGAGGCCAAGGAUAUCUCAGAAAAAAAACAAGGCAAAUAGGGCAAAGCAAGUGAUAAAGCAUACAUCGGGAUCAAAAAGUUAUGCUCAAAUUCGAUAUGAACAGGCACAAAAGAAAGAGGAUCGAAGUGAGCCUAAUAGAAUUGAGAUGUUUGCCUUGACA
This is a long non-coding RNA of Vitis vinifera (wine grape), 4870 nucleotides long. RefSeq lists it as uncharacterized. The transcript is spliced from 9 exons. The record is from RefSeq and is a predicted model, not a curated record. Lineage: Eukaryota; Viridiplantae; Streptophyta; Magnoliopsida; Vitales; Vitaceae.